UAAAAGUUCUCAUAAGUUUAUUAAUAAAUAAAAUUCAUUUCAUCUUUCUUUACAUACAUGUGCACUAAAACAAUGUUGUCAUAAUCAAUUACAAAAUACAGAAUAAAAUAAUCUAAACUCUCAUCACUCAAUCAAUGACAAAUGCUGCGACACCAAGGAACCAUUCCAAGAUAAUGCCAAUCUCUCAUUCAGAGUUAUCGGUCGUUGUUCUCGCUCUUGAGGCCACAGACCACAAUUAAUUCCUCUAUCAGUUCUUUAUAACCUUUUGCAUCAUUAAAAAAUUGCACCAUGCACUUUUGUCCAAUUUUUUGUGUGUGUAAUGUAUUGUCCUAGUCC
RNAcentral lists this long non-coding RNA (336 nucleotides) under Mytilus galloprovincialis (Mediterranean mussel). The record is from RNAcentral. Lineage: Eukaryota; Metazoa; Mollusca; Bivalvia; Mytilida; Mytilidae.